Molecule: ribosomal RNA, 253 nt
Filed under: uncultured bacterium
Lineage: Bacteria
Description: partial 16S ribosomal RNA
Rfam family: Bacterial small subunit ribosomal RNA
Source: RNAcentral
UACGUAGGGGGCUAGCGUUGUCCGGAAUUAUUGGGCGUAAAGAGCGUGUAGGCGGCCAGGUAGGUCCGUUGUGAAAACUCGAGGCUCAACCUCGAGACGUCGGCGGAAACCCUCUGGCUAGAGUCCGGAAGAGGAGAGUGGAAUUCCUGGUGUAGCGGUGAAAUGCGCAGAUAUCAGGAAGAACACCCGUGGCGAAGGCGGUUCUCUGGGACGGUACUGACGCUGAGACGCGAAAGCGUGGGGAGCGAACAGG